Non-coding RNA from Arachis ipaensis, 689 nucleotides. NCBI's taxonomy places the organism in Eukaryota, Viridiplantae, Streptophyta, Magnoliopsida, Fabales, Fabaceae. The record is from RefSeq and is a predicted model, not a curated record.
AAGGAACCUUGCGUGCAUGAAGAAGAAGACAAAAGGGAAAAAGAGAGAAAGGGGAACAGAGAGGGAGCAAAGGGGAAACGAGAAAUUGAUGAAAGGGAGAAGAGGGAUCAGGGAAGCCAAAGGAGAGGGUGACGACGGACGGUGUCAUUACCGUCGCUGCCAUUGAAAUCGGAGGGGAAGCACCACGAAAAACAGAGAGACGCGCAUGAUAGAAGGAGAAGGUAGUGUCGCUAUCGUGCCUGGUGAUCGUGCGGAAGCUUCGAUCGCUAUUGUCCCUGCUAGGGUUACCGCUGACGCCGAACAUAACAGGGGAGAGGAGCGCAAAUUGGAAGAGGAAAGGGAGCUCUGUUGCGGGCUCGUCGCCAAGAAAAGAAGAGGCGAUGCUGGUGGGGAUCGCCGCCGGUGUCGUCGCCGCCACUAUGGUUCGUGGUCGUCACUGCCGUUCGUGACGGACUAGGUUGCGUCCUAGCUUCCGGAGCCGCCAUCACCGUAACCUUGUUGCUUUGGGUCAACCAUGUCUCUGCCUCUGAUGUACCUUGUCGUGCCAUAUCCAUUGGAACUGCCGUGGUUGGGGCUUGUUAUUAGAGAAAGUAAUUUGCUGCCACCAUCUUUCAGUCUAGCCAGCAUCAUCAUCCUCUUUGUUCCAGUUCCAAUGCCAAUUUUCUGUUUCUUAAGCCAUUGUCAAUUUA